This is a small nucleolar RNA of Solea senegalensis (Senegalese sole), 130 nucleotides long. RefSeq annotates it as small nucleolar RNA SNORA71. The record is from RefSeq and is a predicted model, not a curated record. The transcript has a single exon. NCBI's taxonomy places the organism in Eukaryota, Metazoa, Chordata, Actinopteri, Pleuronectiformes, Soleidae.
UCCUGUAUCGAAAGUGACCAUGGUGUGUGUGUGUCACCAGGUCAUUGAUAGUACAGGAACAUGAACCUGAGAGCUUUUUCCCGUGUUUGAAGGAUGACCUGUUCCUCUUGAACCCUGGCGCUCUCAGACA